Molecule: ribosomal RNA, 303 nt
Filed under: Triticum aestivum (bread wheat)
Lineage: Eukaryota; Viridiplantae; Streptophyta; Magnoliopsida; Poales; Poaceae
Description: partial small subunit ribosomal RNA
Source: RNAcentral
AUGCUGCUGCUGGAGACGGUCGCGGCGGUGCCACCCAUGGUGGGCGGCGUGCUGCUGCACCUGCGCUCGCUCCGCCGCUUCGAGCACAACGGCGGCUGGAUCCGCGCGCUCAUGGAGGAGGCCCAGAACGAGCGCAUGCAUCUCAUGACCUUCAUGGAGGUGACGCAGCCCUUGUGGUGCGAGCGCGCGCUCGUGCUCCCCACCCAGGGUGUCUUUUUCAACGCCUACUUCAUCGGGUACCUCGUCUCCCCCAAGUUCGCGCACCGCUUCGUCGGCUACCUCGAGGAGGAGGCCGUACACUGA